UACGUAGGGUGCGAGCGUUGUCCGGAAUUAUUGGGCGUAAAGGGCUCGUAGGCGGUCUGUCGCGUCGGGAGUGAAAACUCAGGGCUUAACCCUGAGCCUGCUUCCGAUACGGGCAGACUAGAGGUAUGCAGGGGAGAACGGAAUUCCUGGUGUAGCGGUGAAAUGCGCAGAUAUCAGGAGGAACACCGGUGGCGAAGGCGGUUCUCUGGGCAUUACCUGACGCUGAGGAGUGAAAGUGUGGGGAGCGAACAGG
Molecule: ribosomal RNA, 253 nt
Filed under: uncultured bacterium
Lineage: Bacteria
Description: partial 16S ribosomal RNA
Rfam family: Bacterial small subunit ribosomal RNA
Source: RNAcentral